This 609-nucleotide ribosomal RNA is filed under the name uncultured bacterium. RNAcentral's name for it is "bacterial SSU rRNA". It matches the Rfam family "Bacterial small subunit ribosomal RNA", at positions 923 to 1533 of the family's 1533-position model. The record is from RNAcentral.
GCACAAGCGGUGGAUGAUGUGGAUUAAUUCGAUGCAACGCGAAAAACCUUACCUACCCUUGACAUGCCUGGAAUUCCGCAGAGAUGUGGAAGUGCCCGAAAGGGAGCCAGGACACAGGUGCUGCAUGGCUGUCGUCAGCUCGUGUCGUGAGAUGUUGGGUUAAGUCCCGCAACGAGCGCAACCCUUAUCACUAGUUGCUACGCAAGGGCACUCUAGUGAGACUGCCGGUGACAAACCGGAGGAAGGUGGGGAUGACGUCAAGUCCUCAUGGCCCUUAUGGGUAGGGCUUCACACGUCAUACAAUGGCCGGUACAGAGGGUUGCCAACCCGCGAGGGGGAGCUAAUCCCAGAAAACCGGUCGUAGUCCGGAUUGCAGUCUGCAACUCGACUGCAUGAAGUCGGAAUCGCUAGUAAUCGCGGAUCAGCAUGUCGCGGUGAAUACGUUCCCGGGUCUUGUACACACCGCCCGUCACACCAUGGGAGCGGGGUUCACCAGAAGCCGUUUGCCUAACCGCAAGGAGGGCGGCGACCACGGUGAGCUUCGUGACUGGGGUGAAGUCGUAACAAGGUAGCCGUAUCGGAAGGUGCGGCUGGAUCACCUCCUUUCUG